UCUGCCUCAAAUCAGG
RNAcentral lists this ribosomal RNA (16 nucleotides) under Aurantiporus mayaensis. Its description in RNAcentral is "partial 28S ribosomal RNA". The record is from RNAcentral. Lineage: Eukaryota; Fungi; Basidiomycota; Agaricomycetes; Polyporales; Meruliaceae.